Long non-coding RNA from Helianthus annuus (common sunflower), 395 nucleotides. RefSeq lists it as uncharacterized. The transcript is spliced from 3 exons. NCBI's taxonomy places the organism in Eukaryota, Viridiplantae, Streptophyta, Magnoliopsida, Asterales, Asteraceae. The record is from RefSeq and is a predicted model, not a curated record.
GACUACUAUGCAUCAAUAGUUGAUUAUUUUGUUUUCAAAAUUGCAGGCACCAACUCUUCAGUGGGCAUGACUACCCAUAAGAUCAAGACACUCUCCACCAUGGAGUGUGGUGUAUACCUCUUUGUUCCGAAAUACCAGUCAUUUGCAGAUGGUGGGAUUCAAUUUCCAUGUUGAAGUGAGUUGUCCUAUUUUGACCACUACAAUUAAUGUCCUCUAUGCACUUAUAAAUAAAACGAGUCCGAGUAAUCAUGAUAUAGAGCAAGAAGAUCCAAGACAAAUGGAUAAUACAAACGUGGCCUAUAAAGAAAAUCUUGGACUUGUGAUUUUUUUUCGUAUUUCCUUUUUUAGUUCAUUGUAAUUAAUAUUUACCUAAGUAAUGGAAGGUUUUGUUUUCA